RNAcentral lists this ribosomal RNA (253 nucleotides) under uncultured bacterium. RNAcentral describes it as "partial 16S ribosomal RNA". It matches the Rfam family "Bacterial small subunit ribosomal RNA", at positions 524 to 776 of the family's 1533-position model. The record is from RNAcentral.
UACGUAGGGUGCAAGCGUUAUCCGGAAUUAUUGGGCGUAAAGAGCUCGUAGGCGGUUUGUCGCGUCUGCCGUGAAAGUCCGGGGCUCAACUCCGGAUCUGCGGUGGGUACGGGCAGACUAGAGUGAUGUAGGGGAGACUGGAAUUCCUGGUGUAGCGGUGAAAUGCGCAGAUAUCAGGAGGAACACCGAUGGCGAAGGCAGGUCUCUGGGCAUUAACUGACGCUGAGGAGCGAAAGCAUGGGGAGCAAACAGG